UCUUCUUCUUCCUUUUGUCCUGUGAUAAUCGCUGGCGCCUGUGCUGCAUUACAUUGCCCUUUGUCUCGUUUGGCACGCGAGUUUUUCUGGGUGUUCUUCUUUUUUGUGCUUUCUCGGACUGAAUUUGAUGUGAGAUUUACAGGGAUUUCAGUGGAUUGUGCGAGCUGUGUCACGUGCUUUCGGUAGAUGAACACGUCGGUUUGCUUGGAGAGUGACCCUUGAUUGGGUGAGGGUUUUGGACAAUAGGAUGCAAAUUCUCUUGUGCUGCGUAGAGUGUGUUAUAGAAGACUAUGAUGGGAUCACUUGAUGACAGAUCGGAUGAUGAAUACUCUGUCAUUGGUGAUAAGGGAGAAAUUUCAUUCAUCGAUUAUCAAAGAGACCAGUCUGUUUGUAGUUAUGAUCUCAAUGAAGAUGAUCCAGUGGCGGUUUCUGCUCCAUUUGCUUUUGUUGAUGGAAAGCCACGGUCAGUAUUUGUUGGGGAAACCGCUGCAGAUUCGAUCUCCAUAACAAACAACACUGAUGAUCAAAUAGACAUCUGGUCCAUAAAAAUAUAUGCCUCAACUCCUGAAAAUUCAUUUACACUUUCUUUGAUGGAGCCACAAUCGGAAAAUUCAGGUGUGGAUGCCGUUCAACGUUUCCUCGGGUCCUUUUCCUUGGAGGACAGAGUGCUGCAGCCAGGAGAGACUCUAACUGUCUGGUUGUCUUGCAAACCAAAGGAAAUUGGGUUGUACACAUCGGUGGUCCAUAUCGAUGUGGGGAAUGAUAAGAUAGAAAGAGUAGUUUUCCUAUUGGUAGAUAACAAGAUUUCCAGGUCCCUGGUUGCAAAAAAGCCAUAUGUUAGAGGCACCAGAAAGAAGCAUUUUGAUGUGGAAACAUAUGUUGUUGGUUCACGUCCGGCAAGAAUUUCUACACACUUCAAGAAAAGGCUCCGUCAGUAUCCAAUUCCAAAGGAUGUGAGAGAAUUGAUAGAGAACAAGCAAAUUCCUGAGGCAAUAAGAGGAGGUCUAACCAGAGAAAAUUAUGCUCCUUUCUUCAAAACAUUGGUAAAUAUUGAAGAACUGAAACUGGAGGAUGAUGUGAGAUCUUUUGAUAUGGAAAAUGUUACUAUGAGAAGGAAAGGGACUCAGUACCUGACCCUCGAAGUGCCUGGACUGGCUGAGAGACGACCUUCACUGGUCCAUGGAGAUUACAUUUUUGUAAAGUUGGCUUCUGAUGAAGAAAGUUACAACAAUCCUUACCAGGGCUUUAUACACCGUGUUGAAGCUGAUGAAAUUUACUUGAAGUUUGCCAAGGAUGUCCAUAUGCGUCAUAGGGAUGAGAGUUUAUACAAUGUUCAGUUCAGUUAUUGCCGAAUCAACAUGAGAAGAUUAUACCAGGCAAUUGAUGCUGCCAAAGAUUUAGAUGAAGCGUUGCUUUUCCCCUCUGACUUACAACGGAAGAGGCUGAUUUCAACAACGCCACUGGUUCCUUUUAAUCAUCUUCUGAAUGAGGAGCAAAUACGUUCGGUUGAGAUGAUCCUUGGCUGCAAAGGAGGGCCACCUUUUGUAGUUUAUGGUCCUCCAGGCACGGGUAAGACCAUAACUAUAGUGGAAGGAAUAAUGCAGCUUUAUGCAAAUCGUCCGGAUACCCAAAUCCUUAUCUGCACUCCAUCAAAUAGUGCUGCUGACCACAUUCUAGAGAAGCUUCUUGGGGAGGAGUCCGUGAAAAUUAAGGAUUAUGAGAUAUUCAGGCUUAAUGCGACUAGUCGACCUUAUGAGGAUAUCAACCCUGAACAUAUUCGGUUUUGCUUUUUCGAUGAGCUUGUUUUCAAGUGUCCUCCAAUCAAAGUCCUCAUGCGCUAUCGGAUUAUCAUCUCGACAUACAUGAGUGCUUCUCUUCUUUCUGCCGAGGGUGUGGAGCGAGGCCAAUUCUCUCAUAUCUUUUUGGAUGAGGCUGGCCAAGCUUCAGAACCAGAAAGUAUGAUCCCUCUUGCUAACCUCUGCCAACGGGACACUGUUGUGGUUCUUGCGGGUGACCCGAUGCAAUUAGGCCCUGUGGUGUACUCAAAAACAGCUGAAGAGUAUGGAUUGGGAAAAUCAUACCUGGAGAGGCUGUUCGAUUGUGAAUUUUACUUCAAUGGUGACGAGAAUUAUGUGAAAAAACUUAUCCGAAAUUACCGAAGUCACCCGGAAAUUCUGCACUUGCCUUCAGAGCUCUUUUAUAAUGGAGAAUUGAUAGCAUGUAAGGAUGAUGCAAGCUGUCUUAGCAUAGAGGUGGAUCUCAUUCCUAACUGCAAAUUUCCUGUUCUCUUUAUUGGUAUUCAAGGAUGUGAUGAGAGGGAAGGAAAUAAUCCUUCAUGGUUUAAUAGAAUUGAGGCAAGUAAGGUAAUUCAAGUCAUCGAGAGAGUCAUAGCAUGUGAGGAAAUUAACGAGAAUGACAUAGGUGUAAUAACACCAUAUCGCCAACAAGUACUUAAACUAAAGACAUCUCUCGAAAGUCUAGAGUUGCCCAAUAUCAAGAUUGGAAGUGUCGAGCAAUUCCAAGGGCAGGAAAGCAAGGUUAUCAUAGUAUCCACGGUGCGAUCUACUAUAAAGCACAAUGAGUUUGACAGGGUCCACUGUUUAGGAUUCUUGAGCAAUCCGAGAAGAUUUAACGUGGCUAUUACUCGGGCUAUAUCCCUGCUUAUCAUUGUUGGGAAUCCUCAUAUUAUAACCAAGGAUCCAUAUUGGAACAGGCUCUUGUGGUAUUGUGUGGACAACAAUUCUUAUCAGGGUUGUGCUCUUCCUGAGAGAGUUGAGGAAUCUGUUAACGAUUAUGCCGGUUAUGAGGAAGGAAUCCCCCAGCAUGGAGAAGAAAACAAUUGGGAUGAAGAACCCCGUCAAACAGAGGCUCCUCUGCCAGUUACAAAUGAAGAUGAAUGGUCAGAUGGCUGGAAGUAAGUUGUUGGAGUGUCUGCAAAUAUAGACAGAAGGCAAGUGAAUGAACCUCUUGACUUUAGUGGGGCUGUUGUUGUGGUUUUCCUUAGGGAACUGGGUUUGCAUCAUUUUUCAUUGCUCUAGAUUUUGUUGGCGUUUGAGUCUAUCGGCUUGGGGUGUGUUAAUUUUCCCAUCUGGCUUUUUCUAGGGGAAAAAUAACAGCGCUGGUUUGCACUGCCAACCUCGCUCGGAAGGAACAAUGAAGCAGAAGUUUUCAAAAGUUUGAUUGUUGAUUCUACGUGACAAUGCGGUUGUUGUUUACGUGGAGAGAUGCUAGAUUGGAAUUUUUCCCACUAUGUCGUGGGCCUAUUUAUAUUUUGUUCAAAUCUUUUUUGGAUGCGGACAUUUUAGAAGAGGUUAUCAGCGUUUGAAACGAGUAUUUCGUUUCAAAUAUGGAUGGAAAUAGGUGAAUAUCGUUGGGCGCUCAGCCAGUGAAGUAAAGAGUCUGGUUCUCGG
RNA transcript from Rhodamnia argentea, 3410 nucleotides. It is a transcript of the gene named probable RNA helicase SDE3, with no coding region annotated. Lineage: Eukaryota; Viridiplantae; Streptophyta; Magnoliopsida; Myrtales; Myrtaceae. The record is from RefSeq and is a predicted model, not a curated record. The transcript has 6 exons.